UGGGGUUAUAAACUCACGAGAGCUCGCUCUCUCGGCACACGUGAUUACUUCGAUAACUUGGGAGCCAACCGCUAGUCGAAGAGCGCUGCAUUCAACAGGCGAAGCGGUUAUUGAACACGCAUACGGAAACUGAAGGCCGAGGUAAUUCAGUCGACAAGCAACUGACACAUUUUGAUCGAGAACAAGAAGAAGAGAUGACGUCCUGGGGUUACGGAAAAAAUAACGGACCCGCCACUUGGGGCCAAUCGUUCCAGCACGCCGCGGGAGAUUGCCAGUCGCCGAUAGACCUCAAAGACACUGUAGUUGACAGCGAGCUGGCGGCACGCCCUCUAGUGUUCAACUACCCCACCGCCAGAUGCACGAACAUCUCGAACACCGGGUACUCGUUUAAGGUGGACAU
Molecule: long non-coding RNA, 400 nt
Organism: Lingula anatina
Lineage: Eukaryota; Metazoa; Brachiopoda; Lingulata; Lingulida; Lingulidae
Source: RefSeq, a predicted model, not a curated record